UACGAAGGGGGCUAACGUUGUUCGGAAUCACUGGGCGUAAAGCGCACGUAGGCGGACUUUCAAGUCAGGGGUGAAAUCCCGGAGCUCAACUUCGGAAUUGCCUUUGAUACUGUUGGUCUCGAGUCCGGAAGAGGUGGGUGGAAUUCCUAGCGUAGAGGUGAAAUUCGUAGAUAUUAGGAAGAACACCGGUGGCGAAGGCGGCCCACUGGUCCGGUACUGACGCUGAGGUGCGAAAGCGUGGGGAGCAAACAGG
RNAcentral lists this ribosomal RNA (253 nucleotides) under uncultured bacterium. RNAcentral describes it as "partial 16S ribosomal RNA". It matches the Rfam family "Bacterial small subunit ribosomal RNA", at positions 524 to 776 of the family's 1533-position model. The record is from RNAcentral.